This 720-nucleotide ribosomal RNA is filed under the name Triticum aestivum (bread wheat). RNAcentral describes it as "partial small subunit ribosomal RNA". The record is from RNAcentral. Lineage: Eukaryota; Viridiplantae; Streptophyta; Magnoliopsida; Poales; Poaceae.
AUGGCUCUCGCGAGAUCUCACCCUCUCAUCGAUUUGUUCAUACCAACCAUCGACAGCGAGCACGGCAUAUGCUACACCCAUCCUGCGAAACUUCCAGGUAUCACACUGAGUGGCCUAAGCAAGCAUUUCUUCCAGCGCAAUUCCAGGGCGUUCAAAGGGGGCACGUGGACGCGUCACAAGAUACAGUCGGAGUGCGGCAUGCACGCGAUGUGGCACAACACCGGCAAUACCUUGCCGGUGAUGAUCAACGGCCAGCAGACGGGCAUCAAAAAUGUUCUGGUGCUGCACACCAACAAGAACUUCGACCAGCAGAGGACCAACUGGGUGAUGCACCAGUACCACCUCGGGGACCUGGAGCAAGAGAAGGAGCGGGAGCUGGUCCUCUGCAAGAUUUUCUACCAGACGAACACUAGGGCCAGGAGUAAAAAGAUUAUAAGUCAAGCAAGUUUCAACUGGGCAGUAGACUGCCCAGGCUUGGUUUUGUUUUUAACAGGCCCAGCCCAUGACGACAACAGGGCACAAAGAUCCAGCAGGCGAAUGCUUGAGGAGCGUGUGGUGGUGCGCGCUCCCCCACGGCUGCCCGGGGAGCGCACACUCAGGGCCCCCGCGCCCUGGGGUCAUCGAGAGGGGGUUGUCACGAGGUCCCUCAUGGCCCUCGGGGAGCAGCCCCACUCGUCGAAGUGCGGCAUCUUCUUGGCAAAGACUCCCCCAUUUGGGUGA